AACGAACGCUGGCGGCAUGCCUAACACAUGCAAGUCGAACGAUCCCUUCGGGGAUAGUGGCGCACGGGUGCGUAACGCGUGGGAACCUGCCCUUAGGUUCGGAAUAACUCAGAGAAAUUUGAGCUAAUACCGGAUAAUGUCUUCGGACCAAAGAUUUAUCGCCUUUGGAUGGGCCCGCGUUGGGUUAGCUAGUUGGUGGGGUAAAGGCCUACCAAGGCGACGAUCCAUAGCUGGUCUGAGAGGAUGAUCAGCCACACUGGGACUGAGACACGGCCCAGACUCCUACGGGAGGCAGCAGUGGGGAAUAUUGGACAAUGGGCGAAAGCCUGAUCCAGCAAUGCCGCGUGAGUGAUGAAGGCCUUAGGGUUGUAAAGCUCUUUUACCCGGGAUGAUAAUGACAGUACCGGGAGAAUAAGCCCCGGCUAACUCCGUG
This 433-nucleotide ribosomal RNA is filed under the name uncultured bacterium. Its description in RNAcentral is "partial 16S ribosomal RNA". It matches the Rfam family "Bacterial small subunit ribosomal RNA", at positions 29 to 507 of the family's 1533-position model. The record is from RNAcentral.